Molecule: non-coding RNA, 273 nt
Filed under: Peptoanaerobacter stomatis
Lineage: Bacteria; Bacillati; Bacillota; Clostridia; Peptostreptococcales; Filifactoraceae
Description: T-box sequence
Rfam family: T-box leader
About the family: Uncharged tRNA acts as the effector for transcription antitermination of genes in the T-box leader family. T-boxes are found upstream of many aminoacyl-tRNA synthetase genes and some amino acid biosynthetic genes usually in Gram-positive bacteria.
Source: RNAcentral
AAAAUUGGCAUAAAAAAGAAUAGUAUUCAGGUAAGUUUUUCAGAGAGUAAUCGGUUGGUGCGAGAUUAUAUAUGAACUGAAGAAUCCACUUUUUGCCACAUCAGGAAAGGUAUAAUAAUUUUUAAAAAAACUGAGCAUAAGAAUAUUCAUUAACUGAUGCGUAUAUUCUGCGUUAAAGGAUUUGAGAUUGAAGUAAGAAUGUUUAUUUAAUUCAUUUACUCCACAUUUUACUUCAAUGAACUUGGGUGGCACCACGAAUAUUUCGUCCCUCGG